GAGUUUGAUCGUGGCUCAGAUUGAACGCUGGCGGCAUGCCUUACACAUGCAAGUCGAACGGCAGCAUGAUCUAGCUUGCUAGAUUGAUGGCGAGUGGCGAACGGGUGAGUAAUACAUCGGAACGUGCCCUGUAGUGGGGGAUAACUAGUCGAAAGAUUAGCUAAUACCGCAUACGACCUGAGGGUGAAAGUGGGGGACCGCAAGGCCUCAUGCUAUAGGAGCGGCCGAUGUCUGAUUAGCUAGUUGGUGGGUAAAGGCCCACCAAGGCGACGAUCAGUAGCUGGUCUGAGAGGACGAUCAGCCACACUGGGACUGAGACACGGCCCAGACUCCUACGGGAGGCAGCAGUGGGGAAUUUGGACAAUGGGCGAAAGCCUGAUCCAGCAAUGCGCGUGUGUGAAGAAGGCCUCGGUGU
This 415-nucleotide ribosomal RNA is filed under the name uncultured microorganism. Its description in RNAcentral is "bacterial SSU rRNA". It matches the Rfam family "Bacterial small subunit ribosomal RNA", at positions 9 to 423 of the family's 1533-position model. The record is from RNAcentral.